GCUACGGGAGGCUGCAGUGAGGAAUAUUGGUCAAUGGACGCAAGUCUGAACCAGCCAUGCCGCGUGCAGGAAGACGGCUCUAUGAGUUGUAAACUGCGUUUGUACGAGGGUAAACGCAGAUACGCGUAUCUGUCUGAAAGUAUCGUACGAAUAAGGAUCGGCUAACUCCGUGCCAGCAGCCGCGGUAAGACGGAGGAUUCAAGAGUUAUACGGAGUUAUUGGGUUUAAAGGGUGCGUAGGCGGUCGGAUAAGGUAGAGGUGAAAUCCCGAGGCUCAACUUCGGAAUUGCCUCUGAUACUGUUCGGCUAGAGUGUAGUUGCGGUAGGCGGAAUGUAUGGUGUAGCGGUGAAAUGCUUAGAGAUCAUACAGAGCACCGAUUGCGAAGGCAGAUUACCAAGCUACUUCUGACGUUGAGGCACGAAAGCGUGGGGAGCAAACAGGAUUAGAUACCCCUGUAGUC
RNAcentral lists this ribosomal RNA (460 nucleotides) under uncultured bacterium. RNAcentral's name for it is "partial 16S ribosomal RNA". It matches the Rfam family "Bacterial small subunit ribosomal RNA", at positions 338 to 795 of the family's 1533-position model. The record is from RNAcentral.